Long non-coding RNA from Humulus lupulus (European hop), 1433 nucleotides. RefSeq lists it as uncharacterized. NCBI's taxonomy places the organism in Eukaryota, Viridiplantae, Streptophyta, Magnoliopsida, Rosales, Cannabaceae. The transcript is spliced from 4 exons. The record is from RefSeq and is a predicted model, not a curated record.
UGCACAAUUUUUUUUUUUAAAAAAAAAAAUAUUAGGGAGAGGUCAAAGCUUGCCUCCCUAUAUAUGUGUCUCCAUCUCUUGUCAAAUCUCUCUGCUAUCCUAAUUAUAUUAAUAAAGAUUUGUAAAAUAGUUCUGGGUUUGAGCAUAAACACUUAGUAGUAGGGAGAAAUUAAUUCACAUUGAUUGAUUCCCUAUUAAAAGCUGAAUUUUGGUGAGAAUUAAUAAAAUGAAUUUGUGGAUCUCAAAGCAAUUGCAAUCAGUCAAGCAUAUUUGAAACAUCAAGUACCAUAUUCAUACCUACAUAGUAACAUAUUUCUUCAUUACAAUGUUGGCUUAAAUAUUAGAGGAUUCGUUAUAGUGUAUGAAAAAAUUAUACAAUUUCUCUAUUUGAUUUCCUCUCAUAUCCCUCAUGAUCUGAUCCCUAUGAAGACUCGCUCAUCAUUCUUUUUCUCAUCGAUCAUUCACUUUCAUAAACUCUUGAUCAGAAGCUUCGAUAAAAUUAUCUACUCCAGCGUUGUUUUUGCUCCAGCCAAAUCUUCUAGAGUCUUUCUCUCUCAGAAUCUCUUCUGUAGAGCUUUUGUAUCGAGACACCCUCUUGUUGAUGUCAUUUGUGGAGCUACUAAGUCAUGGCAACUUCAGUGUUAGUAAAUAACAAUAACAGAAGCAUUUUCUUAUCCUUCUCCUUUUGUCAAGACCCAGGAGAAGUUGUGGAGGAUAGCAUGAUAUAACAUGUUGUUGAUGAGAUUUGAUCUUCCACCAUUUUGAUUCGGAUGGAGUGUGUUCUGUUACAAACAGAGAGCUGGACUCAUUGACCUUACUGGCUGUCAUUGUAUGUGGCCAUUUAAUUUGUCCUGUGUGUUCUAAAAGAUAGAAAAUCCCAGUUUGCAUCUUUCUUGAUUUAUUGAAUUUGUUUUCAUUGUUUUAUUGUGAAUGGCUGUUGGAAGACUUUAAUUAAUAUUAUUUUGUUAUUUUAAUUGUCUAUAGUGAUCCCUAUUGAAUCGCCAAAUUCUUGUUCGGGAGCACGAGGAAACUGUAUUUAACUUUCUUAAGAAUAAUACAACUUUUUUCAUAUCAACUAUUACUUUUUUUUUAAGAUGUUGUGCUUGCAAGGGUUGCCACAGAGAAAAUGUUAUCUCUUAUCAAGGCAUGGUAAAGUGAAAAGUUCAAGGCAGAGAACAAACACAGAUAGAGAGAAUCAAGUGAAAUGUCGUGAUUCACUUUGUGGGCUCGACAAUAGGCUUUCAAAUCAAAUGAAAAUAAUAAAGCAUCAUAAUAUCUUUAGAUUUUGAUGUUCACUUUUUAAGUGAAACAUGGAAGAGUUUUUUCAAAUUUUAGCUAAACCUUUAAGAUAUAAGUUUAUUACGAUGACUUUGAUUCUCUAAAUUUUACUUUUUGAAAGUUAUUCACUUCUUAAGUAAAAUAUGUAUUUGGAU